CAUGUACUCCUUCCGUCCGAAAAUACUUGUCAUCAAAAUGGAUGAAAAAAGAUAUAUCUAUAACUAAAAUACAUCUAGAUACAUUCCCUCUUAUUCAGUUUGAUGACAAGUAUUUUCGCACGGAGGGAAUAUGUC
Non-coding RNA from Triticum aestivum (bread wheat), 135 nucleotides. The record is from Rfam. Lineage: Eukaryota; Viridiplantae; Streptophyta; Magnoliopsida; Poales; Poaceae.